GUGGGACAGGACAGUAGCAGGUGGGACAGGCCCCAUGCUCAGGUCUGGUCUUGCUUCAGAGUUGGAGCGUAGUGGCCCUUUCCACUUCUAUGACGCUGUGGACGGCCAGCUGCAGGGCAGUGUGGAGCUGGGAGCCCUGGGACAAGGGAAGAUCUCAGGUGGAGCUGCAGUGUCCGGCAGCUCCAGUGCUUCCAUGAACGUGUGCACGCUGCGUGUGGACCCAAACACUUGGGAGAUCAUGCAACAGGAGAGGUGAGCUCUGGAGGGACUGAGGUCCCUGACCCUGUGCAGCCACACAUAUGGGGAGGCCACUGGGUCAUGGACAUCAGGAGAAUCCCAAGGCCAUGCCUGUGUGCCAGCAAGGAGAGUCUAAGAUGCAAGGGAGCGCUGUGGCCAUGGUGGGCUGCCAGGGAAGGAGGCGGCACAGUCACCCAGACCUCAGUUGCAAGGACAUAUCAUGAAGGCAGGGACCUGGGGAUCAAACUGAGCCUCAGGCUCAGUGUAGAGGAGAGUAAAGGCUAGCGGGUGCCCCGGGGUCCCAUGGGUCCACUUCUCCCUGCUGGACCUCAUCCCUCCUCUUCACACCCACCUAGACACUGUUGGGAGUACCCAGGAAGGGUACCCAUGCCUGGCAUCUGCAGACUCCCAGAUGCCCUUGCCACUUCACCCCACCCAUCGUGGGGCAGUGGGGAGGCCAGUCUGUGGUGGACAUACCCCAGUGAGCUUCCUGCAGGCGCCUGCGGCAGCCCGAACACAAGAUCCUGGAGCAGCUGAGGAAUCGCAGGGACAAUGUGUAUGUGGUGACGGAGGUGCUACAGACCCAGGAAGAGGUGAAGGUCACCCAAACCCGCAAGAAGGAGGGCUCGGGCCAGUUUGCACUGCCUGGAAACAUGUGCCUUCAGGUGUGUGGCCGGCCCUCAGCCCAUCUUGGCCUGACAUGAACGCAGGGUGGCAGCAGGCGAGGUUUUGCCAAGAGCCCUGCAGGAGCAGUUCACAGCCCCACGCUUGACCCAGGGCUCCCCAAAGCCUGGGUUGGCUGACACCAGUAGCAAGCUUGUUACUAGCACCCAGCCCACACCACACCCCACGUCCCCACACCUAGGGCCCAGUCCUGCUAUGUCUAUUCGUCCCUCAGGGUGAGAGCCAGGGCCACCUGAGCCGGAAGAAUACGGUCACCGUCCCUGCAGGCAGCACCCUUGCAUUUCGAGUGGCCCAACUCAUCAUUGGCUCUGACUGGGGUCAGUAGAGCUGGGGAUGUCUCUGGGGCCCAGACGCCAUGGAGAGGUGGAAGGCCUUGGGAGGGCCACCAGCUGCCUAGGGGCUGCUGCAGGCAUCUGCUGCUCAACCUCCCAGGGCUCUGGUGUGUGGAAGACUGAGGCAAGGCCUCACCUGGGGAGGGGGCCUGUGCAGGAGGGGAUCCUGGUGACCUCCUUCCCCUCUCUGCUCCCACCCAUCGCCAGACAUACUCUUCUUCCCGGAUGAGAAGCAGAGGACCUUCCCACGGUCCCCCAAAGGUGAGCCCUGCCUGUCCAAAGGGAGAACCCUUCCUUUGCUAUUAAGGCCUUCUCCUGUGUUCAGGACCCGUGGUGCUGGACAGCCUCCCCAAAGGACAGGCUCCUCGUUUGCACACACAGGGGUCACAUCCAGGUGUCACGGCCCUCUGUGGUCUCACACCUGCUCUGGGCUGCCAGCGUUGGGGAUGGGGCCAGGGAGGAAGGCCUCAGCCCUCUUCGGCUCAGGGACCUACUCUGGCACUAAGCCAUGCUGUCCUCCCUCCCCUGUCCUCACACCUCUGCCCAGGCCACAAACCUCCCCGAGGGGCAGGCAGCUCACUGAAGCAAGCCUUCAGACUCUCCUCCAUGUUAGAGUCCAUCCACGACCGCCUCAAGUUCCUGUCAGGUUUGUGAACUUUUGAUACCUCUUGGACCCCUGUGGGCUCUCCUUCUGCUCCUGGGGUGUGCCCUUCCUGUCCAGGGCUCUCCAGGGCUCUCUGUCCCCAUAGAUGGGCCACUUGAAGAGCUGGUUGUCACUGAAGACUUCCAGGGCCUGCAGGCAGAGGUGCAGGCUGGCUCUGAGGAACUGGAGCACAUGGAAAAGAACCUGAGACAGCAGCUGCUGGGGGCCCUGGGGAGGAUCCUCAAGGACCCGCUGGCCCUGCAAGCUUUAGAGUCCUCAGUAAGUGGGGCUGUGUGGGGGUGGAAGGGUCUGCCCAGCCAGCUCAGGCUCAUGCACCCUGUCUGUGCCCCAGCUGGAGCAGGGCCUAUGCUAUGGCGGGCAAGUGGAGCAGCUGGAUGGCCCGGCAGGUGCUGUCCUCGAGUGCCUGGUGCUCCCCUCCAGGACGCCUGUGCCAGAACUUGCCGCCCCUGUCUUCUACUUGUUGGGGGCGCUGACGGGUGAGUGACCUCUGGGGAGUAGAUGUGGGACAGAGGGAAGGACUAGGUUCCCCACUAGGCCUCCCUGAGCCCCCUCUCAGACCAUGUCUCUCCCCAGUGCUGAGUGAAACGCAGCGUGAGCUGCUGGCUGACUUGCUGGAGACAGGGACCCUGUUGGAGCAGCUCAAGCUGGUGAGAGGGCACAGCAUGGGGGCUGGAAUGGGCCCUGGGACACCUGUAAGGGCAGAGCAUGCCCAGGGACUCAGGACUAGCUCUUCCACCCAUAACCUCCUACCCUCCUGCAGGUGGAGCACCUCUUGCAGCAGAGCACCCCAUGGCAGGAGCAGAAGGCUGUGUCCUUGCCCCCUGGGCUCCUUGGGAGUAGCUGGGGCAAGGAGGCCCCAGGGUGGACCCUGCUGGAGGAAUGUGGCCUGGUGCUGCAGGUGGGCGCCCCCCAUGUGUGCUGGGAACCUCAGGCCCAGGGCCCCACGUGUGCGCUCUAUGCCUCCCUGACCCUGCUGUCAGGGCUACAUGAGGAGCCCCGUUAACCUGCACGCUGGGCAGCUCUCCAGCCAGGCACCCCCCUGCCAGCCCUAGGAAGGCUGAAAGCCCAUUUAACUACAGGGCCAGCUCACUCAGAGGCCCAGGAGUUGGGAAAACUCAAUAAAUAUGAUGUACAAAGGAAAGAAUGGUAACAGUUCUGUUUUUGA
RNAcentral lists this long non-coding RNA (3082 nucleotides) under Marmota monax (woodchuck). Lineage: Eukaryota; Metazoa; Chordata; Mammalia; Rodentia; Sciuridae. The record is from RNAcentral.